GGGGUAAAAUUAAAAAAAAAUAAAAUAAUAAAAAAAAUUUUAAAGUUAAAAAUAUGAUAGGGGUUUAAGUAUUUUUAAUAGAAAAAAUUUAAAUAUUUAUAGUAAAUUAGUAUUGUGAAAGAAUUUUGAAAUAAUUUUGAAAAAAAAAUUUAUUUAAAAGUAAUUUUAAUUUAAUGUAUCUUGUGUAUCAGAGUUUAUUAAAAAUUGUUUAUUAAUUUAAAUUUCUCGAAUUUAAAAGAGUUAAUUAAUUAAAAAAUUUAUUGUUUCAUAAAUAUUUUAAAUAAUUAAUUAGAAAUGAAAUGUUAUUCGUUUUUAAAUAUAUCUAGUUAUUUUAGAAAAAAAUUUAAUUUUUAAUAAAAUUAUAUAAUUAAUUAAUUUUUUAAUUAAUUAUAUAAUUUUAUUUAAUAUUUUAAGGGAUAAGCUUUAAUUUAAAUUAUUAUAAUUUAGAUUAAAUUAUUUGAAAAUUUUAUAAUUUAAAUUGUUAAUAAAUUUUAAUUUAUUAUAAAUAAUUUCAAUGUUUUUAAAAUUUAAUUUAAAAUUUAAUUUUUUAUAAAAUAAUAAUUUUUAAUUAAAAAAAAUUAGUUAUAAUGAUAAAAUUAGUAUAUAAUAUAUAAAUAUAAAAUUAAUUUAUAAUUUUAUAAUAAAUUAUUUAAAAGGAAUUCGACAAAUAUAUAUGUCCACCUGUUUAUCAAAAACAUGUCUUUUUGUAAAUAAUUUAAAGUCUAAUCUGCCCACUGAUUUAAUAAUUAAAGGGCUGCAGUAUAUUGACUGUACAAAGGUAGCAUAAUCAUUAGUCUCUUAAUUGGUGACUUGUAUGAAGGAUUGGAUGAGAUAUAAAUUGUCUCUUAAAUAUUAAAUAGAAUUUAAUUUUUUAAUUAAAAAGUUAAAAUAAUUUAAAAAGACGAGAAGACCCUAUAGAGUUUUAUAUAUAUUUAUUUUUAAUUUUUUUAUUAAUGGUUUAUUUUAAAUUUAAAUUAUAUAUUUUGUUGGGGUGAUAAAAAAAUAAAAUUAACUUUUUUUAAAAUUAAACAUAGAUAAGUGAUUUUUUGAUCCAGUAAUAUUGAUUAUAAGAAAAAAUUACCUUAGGGAUAACAGCGUAAUUUUUUUUUUUAGUUCAAAUAAGAAAAAAAGUUUGCGACCUCGAUGUUGGAUUAAGAUAAAAUUUAGAUGCAAAAGUUUAAAAUUUUGAUCUGUUCGAUCAUUAAAAUCUUACAUGAUCUGAGUUCAAACCGGUGUAAGCCAGGUUGGUUUCUAUCUUUUAAAAUUUUUAAUAUUUUAGUACGAAAGGAUCAAAUAUUAUAAUUAAAUUAAUUUAUUUGAAUUUUAUUAAAUAAAUAUUAAAUUUAUUUUUAUAUAUUUAGUAAUAUAUAUAUAUAUAUAUAUAUAU
This 1387-nucleotide ribosomal RNA is filed under the name Cephonodes hylas. RNAcentral's name for it is "16S ribosomal RNA". Lineage: Eukaryota; Metazoa; Arthropoda; Insecta; Lepidoptera; Sphingidae. The record is from RNAcentral.